AUGAACGCUGGCGGCGUGCCUAAUACAUGCAAGUCGAGCGAACAGACGAGGAGCUUGCUCCUCUGACGUUAGCGGCGGACGGGUGAGUAACACGUGGGUAACCUACCUAUAAGACUGGGAUAACUUCGGGAAACCGGAGCUAAUACCGGAUAAUAUAUUGAACCGCAUGGUUCAAUAGUGAAAGACGGUUUUGCUGUCACUUAUAGAUGGAUCCGCGCCGCAUUAGCUAGUUGGUAAGGUAACGGCUUACCAAGGCGACGAUGCGUAGCCGACCUGAGAGGGUGAUCGGCCACACUGGAACUGAGACACGGUCCAGACUCCUACGGGAGGCAGCAGUAGGGAAUCUUCCGCAAUGGGCGAAAGCCUGACGGAGCAACGCCGCGUGAGUGAUGAAGGUCUUCGGAUCGUAAAACUCUGUUAUUAGGGAAGAACAAAUGUGUAAGUAACUAUGCACGUCUUGACGGUACCUAAUCAGAAAGCCACGGCUAACUACGUG
This 496-nucleotide ribosomal RNA is filed under the name uncultured bacterium. RNAcentral's name for it is "partial 16S ribosomal RNA". It matches the Rfam family "Bacterial small subunit ribosomal RNA", at positions 29 to 507 of the family's 1533-position model. The record is from RNAcentral.